This 517-nucleotide ribosomal RNA is filed under the name uncultured Comamonadaceae bacterium. RNAcentral describes it as "bacterial SSU rRNA". It matches the Rfam family "Bacterial small subunit ribosomal RNA", at positions 8 to 526 of the family's 1533-position model. Lineage: Bacteria; Pseudomonadati; Pseudomonadota; Betaproteobacteria; Burkholderiales; Comamonadaceae. The record is from RNAcentral.
AGAGUUUGAUCCUGGCUCAGAUUGAACGCUGGCGGCAUGCCUUACACAUGCAAGUCGAACGGUAGAGGGGCAACCCUUGAGAGUGGCGAACGGGUGAGUAAUAUAUCGGAACGUGCCCAGUCGUGGGGGAUAACGCAGCGAAAGCUGCGCUAAUACCGCAUACGAUCUAUGGAUGAAAGCGGGGGAUCGCAAGACCUCGCGCGAUUGGAGCGGCCGAUAUCAGAUUAGGUAGUUGGUGGGGUAAAAGCCCACCAAGCCGACGAUCUGUAGCUGGUCUGAGAGGACGACCAGCCACACUGGGACUGAGACACGGCCCAGACUCCUACGGGAGGCAGCAGUGGGGAACUUUGGACAAUGGGCGCAAGCCUGAUCCAGCAAUGCCGCGUGCAGGACGAAGGCCUUCGGGUUGUAAACUGCUUUUGUACGGAGCGAAACGGUCUGGGUUAAUACCCUGGGCUAAUGACGGUACCGUAAGAAUAAGCACCGGCUAACUACGUGCCAGCAGCCGCGGUAAUAC